CCCUUAGAUGUUCUGGGCCGCACGCGCGCUACACUGAUGCAUUCAACGAGUGUACCUUGGCCGAGAGGCCUGGGCAAUCUUUUGAACGUGCAUCGUGAUAGGGAUAGAUUAUUGCAAUUAUUAAUCUUGAACGAGGAAUUCCUAGUAAACGCAGAUCAUCAAUCUGCAUUGAUUACGUCCCUGCCCUUUGUACACACCGCCCGUCGCUCCUACCGAUUGAAUGAUCCGAUGAAUAUCAUGGAUUGAGGAUGCAAGCAGGUUCGCCUGUCUUCAUCUUCGAGAAGUGAAGUAAAUCUUAUCAUUUAGAGGAAGGAGAAGUCGUAACA
RNAcentral lists this ribosomal RNA (326 nucleotides) under uncultured eukaryote. RNAcentral's name for it is "partial 18S ribosomal RNA". It matches the Rfam family "Eukaryotic small subunit ribosomal RNA", at positions 1470 to 1796 of the family's 1831-position model. The record is from RNAcentral.